RNAcentral lists this long non-coding RNA (6460 nucleotides) under Homo sapiens (human). Its description in RNAcentral is "HSALNT0221035". Lineage: Eukaryota; Metazoa; Chordata; Mammalia; Primates; Hominidae. The record is from RNAcentral.
UUAACACUUAGUGAUUAUAUUAGCGAUGUACAAUAACUUCUCACUUUGGAUUCUUUUUGAUGUAUUAUGGAGGUAAAAAUCAAUAUUUUCUACCAAACUGGAGAAAUUUAGAUGAUCUAUUUUUGAGAUAUAGGUUCAGAGAAAAAUUGAUGAUAAAGACUGGAAUAACUCUAGUUCCCCCAAGUCAACAUCUGAUUGGCCCUUAGAAUCAGAAUUUAGGAAGAGAGAGGUUUGGGAGACCACGCAGUCCUGCUUCCUCACUUCGCAGAUACGGAAACCAGGCCUAGCUGGAAUUUCCCCAGAUCACACAGCCAGGAAACAGCAGGCUCAAAACUAGGGCCUUCUGAGUCCCCAGUGCAGCAUGCAUAUGUGUCUGCCUUGUUUCAUUAUGUAAUGGUACAGCGAGUUUGGAGGCAUACAAAAACAGACAGACACCAAUCUUGCCUUCAAGGCGUUUACAAUUUAGCAGGGGAGAUAACACAUGUAUAUAAAAAACUUACUAGACAAAGUAAACAGCAGUAUGCUCUAUAAGACAGGUAUGGAUUAAAAAGGAAUCUUUAAGUCAUUGAACCCUGAGAUUCUUUUUUUUUCAUUUUUUAAAACAAUAGUAAUCAAACUUGUGAAAUAGUGAACUUCCUCCAUUUUGCAAGAUUCCUCGAAACCAAGUACUUGGAAUAUAACUUAGUUAAGGAUUGCACAACACACACCAUUUGAGUAUCUGAUUUGGAAAACUAAGCCACAGAGCCAGACCACACAAUGCACACUGGUUGGAAUCUGCUGGGCAGGUAUCUCCCCGUCUGUCCAGGCAAGCCAAAUCAAAUAAGGCCCUGAGUUAAAAAGGAAGGAAAAGUAACAGAUAAAUCUGUUGACCACCACUCUAGGAGGCCAAGGCCUCUUUCCUCCCCAUUAGUGGUGGCUUGCUCUAAGAUAAAAAUACCACACUUAAGCUGUGAUAGAGGAAAGCCCGUGGUUUGGGACCCAACUACAAAGUAACAGCAAAAGAGAGAUUAUUACUCCCUAGUGACUCUCUUUUUGGUAUAAUUAGAAGAAUAGAAAGACCACUGAAGAGUGGGAUUUGUGAGAAAUAUGGGUCAUGUGUCUGCAGCACUAGUUGCUUGCAGAAUUGGCUAUGUGGGUUGGCACACAGCACCGUGAAUAUUAGAAACCACAAAUCUCCAGGGUUUCUUGAACAAAGUAAAAGGCCUUGUCUUCAGAUUGCCAGGUUGGAGGCUGGCUUGUGGAAGAAGCCCCUGGGUGAGCUCCAAAGCUACCUACGCAUUUCUGCCUUCUCCGUCUCUUUCUUCUCCUCCUCCUCUCCCUCUCCCCAUCCCUCUCCUCUUAUUUUGGAUAUUGCAUCUUGGUGGGUCUAACUGUAGCUUUGCUUAUGCCAAUACCCCCCUGCCCCACCCCCUGGGGAAGCAGGCCCUCUCCAUGACAACUGCCGACGCAGAAUCCACAGAGCUCUGGACAAUGGGACAAACCAUAUUUCUAUGAACAAAGCCAAGGUAAGUGGAUUCCUUUGCCCCUGGAGGACUAAAGGAGUUACUCCCCAGUCAGAUUAUGCUGUAAUUGAGGGUCCAGAAAAGGAAUGAACUUCCCUGUGUAGACAACAGAGCCAGUUCUUAAAAAGCUAUGCCAGCGUGCAGACCCUUUAGAAUCUCCUCCUUGGGAGCCUGAAAUGGAAACAAAGUACUUCCCUGUGUUCACCUGUCCAAUCGUUGACUCCUCUGCAGAAUUAUUCUCUUGGGUUGUAAGUAAGCUAAGUCUUCUAUAAGGCAUACUUCAAGAAAAAAAGGAAAACAUAAAAUGAGUUUAUAAAAUCCUAAGGAUUAACUAUACCUUGGACACAGAUAAAUUGCCACGUUUAUCACUGCACUUCCCUUUAUCUCCUCCUGAGAUGCUCUCUCGGUUCCUCCUUCACUGCUCUUCAGGUUCUGGAAUAUUUCUUAGCCAACACUUCAUCCACGGUGACUUCCAGGACCCCCAGUGAGGGGUGGGGAUUCCUAUGUUGUCUCUUUUCUUGGCCUCUCCAUCCAAAAUAUUUAGAUGGUGCAUUCGUGGCCUUUCUCUCUCUCUACCACUGCCUCCUCCAAAAAAAGGAAAAGCGGGGAGUGGCGGGUGGAAGGAGAUUACAUUUUUCUUUCUUUUUUUCUUUUUUUUUUGGAGAUGGAGUCUUGCUCUGUUGUCCAGGCUGGAGUGCAGUGGCGUGAUCUCGGAUCACUGCAGCCUCUGCCUCCUGGGUUCCAGUGAUUCUCCUGCCUCAGCCUCCUGAGUAGGUGGGAUCACAGGUGUGCACCAUCACGCCCAGCUAGUUUCAUCAUGUUGGCCAGGCUGGUCUCAAACUCCUGACCUCAAGUGAUCCGCCCACCUCAGCCUCUGAAAGUGCUGGGAUUACAGGCAUGAGCCACUGUGCCUGGCCCAUUUUCUUCUCUUAUCCUUGGUGCUUUCCAUAUAGUAGGAGGUCAGGGAGAUCAAGGGGAUUCCUGGAUGCAUAAAUAAAAUCUGCAUUUCUUAGGAAUCUGAUGGACAAGAGAAUCCAGAAUCUCUGCAAUGGGCAGAAGAGAGGACCAGACUUCAUGGUUGAUCUCCCCACAGACCAUACCAACAGGGCAAAGCCCUUCUACUGUCAUUGGAGUAUAUUGACCCAUCCCUGACAGAAAGUCUGUGUAAGCCCGAGGAGGAGGAACAUGCCGCAAACCUGCUGCAGAGCAUUAACAAGAACAGAAUUAAAAAGGAUCACUUCUGGGACUCAUCACACAACUUGGAAAUCAUGUUCAAUAAAAGAAAAGAUAAUUUGGGGCCACACUACCUGAAAUGAACAUCUGACACUCAGUCACUGGUCUGGAUUUAGAAAACUGCUUUGAUCCCCGGAGGGAAGAUUGUUAAUGAGUAUUUUAAAGGACAAGAUUGGCGAAGCAUGAUAGAGUGGAAAAGGGUACUGAUUUUGAAGGGUCCCAGUCUUGCUUCCACUUCUGUAAGCAAGUAGAACUGACUUUGAACAAGACACAUUACACUGCCCUGAGAAAACGUCCUCAUCUCUAACAUGGGAGGUGAAGUUAACCCUCUAGUCCAUCCAACAAUCAAAUCUAGGCCUUAAUGACUAUGAAAACAUGGGAAAAAAUUUAAAACAAGAGCAGGUAAUGCUUGCACCUUUUCGCUACCUGAAAGGAAGGUCAGACAACCUUAGUAUAAAAGGUAACUUUUCUUACUUGCAUGCUAACAAUCAAUGCAUAAUUUACAUAGCAAUGCAUACACUUUAUAUAGUUCAAGAGAUCAUCGUUGACUGCCUGAACUUGAUAUGCUUCAUCCUUGUCAUGUCCUCCUCACUAAAUACUAACUACCCAAAGUGAUCAAACCCCAAAUGUAAAAAUAAUCAUCUGAUAAAUCACAGACAACAAGGAGGUGAAAAAAAGAACUCAGUCAAACAUUUUUGAGUUCAUAAAAAAAUUGAAUAGCAUAAUCUACCACUAUGUUCCCAUCCCCCUGCUAAAACAAUAUUUUAUCACUCUGGCUUUAUUUAUUCCCAGUCCUCCCCAACAUACUUAUUUUCUGGAGCAUUUUAAAGUAAAUCUUGGAUAUCUUGUCAUUUCAUCCACAACUACUUCAGUCUUCAUCUCAACUAAUAAGGAUUUUUUAAAAACCACUACCACGACAGUAUUAUGCCUGACAAUAUUAAAAAAUUAUUUACUAUCAUCUAAAGAACCAAUCAAUAUUCAAAUUUCAUCAAUCAUCUAAAAAUUUUUUUUUCUUUCAGUUUUUGGCUUGAAUUAGCAUCUAAACAAGCUAAGAGGUGAAACUGAUUUCACCCAAUUCACAAUCCUUUGUCUUUUAAAUAUUUCUUUUAGACGCUGACAUUACUUAGACACAAUGUAUCUGGAACACAGAUAAUGUGAAGGUCAGCUUCAUCGCAAUAUUAUUUGAAAUGUCUUAUUCUAUGAAUCAGAUAUAAAUGUAGUUAAAGGCUCAGAACUGGAAAAAUCUCAAGUAAUUCUCAGUUUUCCCAAAUGCAUAAAUGAUUUAGGCAACCUUAAUGGAAUGCUUUAAAGAUAUUUUGCUAAAUCUUACACCAUUCCUAGGAAGAAUACCUCUGACAGACUUUAGCAGCUUUUAUUUUGCCCAUAUAAAAGCUGGAUUUCUUAGACCGUGGAGCAGCCUAACAGCACAGAUAGUAUUUUCAGUUGUAGUUUCACCUGCACCUUAAAAAGAAAUCUACCUGCAUAUGCUGGCAACGAGGACAUCUUUGAAAACAGAGCUAAGAGCCUCAAACUGUCAACUCCGACUUUUGGGAAGAAGGGAGGUGAACAGUUUCUCCAUUCAGCUUCCAUGAGGCCUCUCUGGUAACACACAGGCACUGCUGUGACUCAUAACCAGAAAUACUGUUUUAUAACACCAGUCUGUGUUUUGUAACACACACUGAAAGAAAAAAAAAACUAUUUAGAAACCAAAACCAAGCCCUACAUCUGGGCAUUGGUAUCAAGAUCUCAAGAUGUCAGAGUGGCUAUUUAAUUCAGAUAAAGUAGGCAAGUCCUUAUCCCUUUCCUUGGCAAGAAAGUGGAGGCUUCCUGCCUGCUGCACAUGCCCACAGGAGGAGCAACCAUGAAUUUAAUUUUCUUAAAACAGAAGCAUUUUCAGACUUGUGUUUUCCUGGACAGCUGCCUAGUGGCUGUAAUCCAUAAUAAGGGCGUGUAAUUGACAGUAAUGUGAAUCACUCACUGAAAUUCUGGCAAAAAAAAAAAAUAGAGGAGUUAUUUUUUUUUUUUUUCAGGAAAAAAUUAAAGAGCAGAUUCAUCCUGUCCAUUGAAAAUAGCAAUUACUUUACAUUUCAGCUCAUUAGCUACCUUUAUAUAAAAAAAUCACUGUAAUUUGUACUAACUAUCAGCAAGUGUUGUAAAGAAGUGGUGCAGUUGCACAAGGCAUGCAAUCGGAUGUGCUGGGCCAGGCACAAUCUGUAAAAUGGCAAAUGUAGAUGAGUUACUUGAUAUAGCAUACAUGGGAUUCCUGGCCCAAGAGUGAGUUACAGGACACUGUCCUAACAGUGAUUUUGCCACUUAAAAAGCUGCUAUCUGCCUGGGACCUUGUAAUUAUUAUGGUAAUACCCAGGGCAGACUGAUCAAGCUGCCAUUGAUGUCUAUGGGCAGUUUCAGAAUUCCUUUCACUCAGACACAGGGAUCUCCAAAAGAAUGGUUGGGGAUUUUCCCAGGUAGAAGCUGUUGGAACCAUGGAAACUUUGAGACCAGGUAAAGGGUUUCUCCCAUCUAUUAAUUCUCUUUGAAUAAGGGGAAGAAUAAUCUCAAUUAACUUCACUAUCAACCUGAAAGGGCCCCCUCUUUUCCAAGGCAGAGGCACGGGAACUAAACACUGGAAAGCUACGGAAGAUUUAAUUCCAUUUAGAUAAACCCUGACUCCAUCAGAACCCGAGAGGUUCAGAUAUUUUUCUGAAACUUCAGCACCUGUGAAACUAGCAGCCCUUGUCCAGAACUACCUGGUAUCUCAAGCUUCUGGUCCCAGAGGGAACAGGGGUAUUUUGACUUGUGAAAAUCCCACGAAUGCAUGGAGAAAAACUUGGGACUUUAGAAUGCUGAGGUCUGUGUUAGGAAGAUGUAUAUUGAACCAAAGAGUGGAAACACUUAACCUCUUUUUCUCAGUCAACCACACUCUAUGAAGAAGGCUUGGAUUUAUUUUCUCCUAUUGGGAUCUCCCAUUCUUAGAAGAAAAAUGGAAGUCAGAUUUCAUUAAAAUAGAGGUAAUGUUGGGAUUUUGAUGAAUGAAACUAAAAUUCAUUUUGUGCUUUAUCAUUAAUUAUUUCUGAGAAGCUUUUUCUCAUAUGACAACAGUUGGGGGAUGGUAUUAUUAGCUUAUGAUGGUUCCCAUCUUUGAUAGCCACCACUAAUCUCCUACUUAAUUCUGGCUUAAUUUGCAAGUAGUUGCUAACAGGCAAAAUGAGGGUGGAGUCUCAUAAACCACUAAAAAGAGAGACUUGCUAUGCAUAUAAAUAGGCCCUGCAAAAAUAUUUCAGAUACUGUAUCUCAAUUAUUAGACAGUAGCAAACUGUCAAAAUCUAAAAAGUAACAUGGAAUAUGUAUAACUAGUUCUUUGCAGGCAUUCUUUUUGUUCCUAUAUGAAUACAUUUUAUGUGAGCCCAAAUGGUUGGAAAUGUAUUAUUCAUUUUUAUAAUUGAGAAAAAUGUGUUAACGCUCUGGAAUGUCCAUGUGUGGAAAAAUAAAACGUUAUAUGGAAUUGCACACACAUAUGAUUUAUAAUGCAUGCUUCCAGGACCAGAAAUCCUAACGAAGAACCUUAUUCAACAGAAAAAAACAUUUUUUUUUCUUCAGUAUGUGCAAUUCUGGUAUACUGUAAUGCUGAGGCCAAGCAUAUAUUUUAUUAGUUUAAAUCCUAGCUAAGCAAUAAAAUAUGUGUCAUUUUAAAUAAAAGAAAACAUGUUUUUCACAAAAGCUAGAUU